This 445-nucleotide ribosomal RNA is filed under the name uncultured bacterium. RNAcentral's name for it is "partial 16S ribosomal RNA". It matches the Rfam family "Bacterial small subunit ribosomal RNA", at positions 354 to 796 of the family's 1533-position model. The record is from RNAcentral.
GUAGGGAAUAUUGGGCAAUGGAUGCAAGUCUGACCCAGCCAUCCCGCGUGUCGGAAGAAGGCCCUCAGGGUUGUAAACGGCUUUUGACGGUGAAGAAUCGACAGGAUGCGUCCUGUUUUGACGGUAGCCGUUGAAUAAGCACCGGCUAACUCCGUGCCAGCAGCCGCGGUAAUACGGAGGGUGCGAGCGUUGUCCGGAUUUAUUGGGUUUAAAGGGUGCGUAGGCUGGAAGGUCAGUCAGCGGUGAAAAGCUGUCGCUUAACGAUAGUCUUGCCGCAGAUACUUCCUUUCUUGGAUGAGGAGGAGGCCACUGGAACGGAUGGUGUAGCGGUGAAAUGCAUAGAUAUCAUCCAGAACACCGAUUGCGAAGGCAGGUGGCUGUACCUUAAUCGACGCUGAUGCACGAAAGCAUGGGGAGCAAACAGGAUUAGAUACCCCUGUAGUCC